GACGAACGCUGGCGGCGUGCUUAACACAUGCAAGUCGAACGGAAAGGCCCUGCUUUUGUUGGGUUCUCGAGUUGCGAACGGGUGAGUAGCACGUGAGUAACCUGCCCUUUACUUUGUGAUAACUUCAUGAAACUUGUUCUAAUACCUGAUAGGAUCUCCUGCUGCAUGUUUUGGUUUGGACAGUUUCGGCGGUUGGUGAUGGACUCGCGGCUUAUCAGCUUGUUGGUGGUGUAGUUGCUUACCAAGGGUUUGACGGGUAGCCGGCAUGUGAGGGUGAACGGGGAAAUUGGGACUGAGAGACGGCCCAGACGGGAACGGGAGGCAGCAGGGGGGAAUAUUGCAAAAUGGGAGGAAGCAUGAGGAAGAAACGCAGGGAGCGGGAUGAAGGCCUACGGGUUGUAAAAAGAUGUAGAAUGAGAAGAAGAGGGAGUGACGGUAAUGGGUAAAGAAGCACCGGCUAACUACGUG
RNAcentral lists this ribosomal RNA (468 nucleotides) under uncultured bacterium. RNAcentral describes it as "partial 16S ribosomal RNA". It matches the Rfam family "Bacterial small subunit ribosomal RNA", at positions 28 to 507 of the family's 1533-position model. The record is from RNAcentral.